GAUGAAGAACGUAGCGAAAUGCGAUAAGUAAUGUGAAUUGCAGAAUUCAGUGAAUCAUCGUAUCUUUGAACGCACAUUGCGCCCCUUGGUAUUCCGAGGGGCAUGCCUGUUCGAGCGUCAUUAUAACCCCUCAAGCUCAGCUUGGUGUUGGGGCCUGCUGCACUGGCAGCCCUUAAAAUCAGUGGCGGCGCCAUCUGGCUCUAAGCGUAGUAAUUCUUCUCGCUAUGGAGUCCUGGUGGAUGCUUGCCAUCAACCCCCAAUUUUUCUAUGGUUGACCUCGGAUCAGGUAGGGAUACCCGCUGAACUUAAGCAUAUCAAUAAGCGGAGGA
This 329-nucleotide unclassified non-coding RNA is filed under the name soil metagenome. RNAcentral describes it as "partial contains 5.8S ribosomal RNA, internal transcribed spacer 2, and large subunit ribosomal RNA". The stretch from base 1 to 120 matches the Rfam family "5.8S ribosomal RNA", at positions 35 to 154 of the family's 154-position model. The record is from RNAcentral.